This 1122-nucleotide long non-coding RNA is filed under the name Anas platyrhynchos platyrhynchos (common mallard). Its description in RNAcentral is "lncRNA (ENSAPLG00000024382.1)". The record is from RNAcentral. Lineage: Eukaryota; Metazoa; Chordata; Aves; Anseriformes; Anatidae.
CCGUGGGAGCCCAGGGGACCCCCAGGGCCCCGUUUUCACCCUCCAGCCCCCGGCCCAGAGCUGGAGGGGCCGGAGCCCGGCCGUGCCCCAUGCGCCUCCCGGCCCGGGGGUGCGGGUCGUGCCUAGCACCCCCAGGGCAGGCCCGGUACCGGGGGGGUUACGACGGGGGCAGGCUCCGCCGCUGAAUCCGUUACACUCGGCUCGUAGGGUGGGAAUUUCCCCCGAGCCAUUACCGGAGGUCGGAGGGACCCGGACCCGGACCAUUGGUGCCCACCGGGGCACCCCCGGGCAGCCGGGGGGCAGCGGCCGCCGCCACCGGGACGCAGCCUGGACGGGGCGGCCGGGCACCGCUCGCUGCCCGCGGCACCCCCGGGGCUCCGGGCACCGUGCCCCGGGCAGGGGGCUGCCGGGGGGGCUGCCCGAGGAGCGGCUGUAACGCUUCGAGGCGGCCGCGGGGGCGCGGAGCGGGGCCCCCGUCCGCUCCCCCCCGUGCGGCCGGAACAAAAGGAUUCGCCGGGGGCUACAGGAGGGGGCUUGGACGCACCGUGCGCCCCCCGGGCUGCCGGCAACGAGGCGGGGAGGGGGGGUCCGGCCCCGAGCCCCGAGGGCGACCCCCGCUCCCCGGGGUCCCGGCGCGGACAAACCCCGGGGCUGAGCCGAGCGGCUCCGGUCGGGGUGCGGGUCCCCGGGGCCGUGCGGUGCCGAGCGGGGCGCAUCCCCCCCGGGGGCCGUGCGGUGCGGUACCGAGGAGGGUGCAGCCCCCCCGGCGGUGCCGUGCCGAGCCGUGCCGUGCAUUCUCGCGGCUCUCCAGCAGGCGCCCGGCCCUGGACAUUGUCUCUUCCUCCCGGAGGAAGGGCCCUCCCCGGCCCUCCACAAUGUGCUCUUCCAGGCGCGGCUCCCCGCGCCCCCCGCCCGGUGCGCCCGCCCCCCGCGGCCCCGCUCCCCUUCCCCCGCCGCCUCCGCCCCCUCCUCCCGCGGCCGCCGGGGCCCCCCCCCCCCCCCCCCCCCCCCGGAGUUGGGGAACGGCCCCGCCGCCGGGCCCCCGCCCCCCCCCCGCCCGCCCCCCCGGGAGCCGGGAGUGACGCGCUCCGCAGCGCCGGCCCCUCUCCCCGGGCAGCAGCU